ACCUAGUCCUUUACAGAAAUGCAGAACAACUGAUCAGCCUGUUCUCCAUCAUACCACCCAGGCGCUUAUAAAAACUUUAAGGGUCUGUCUCUUUUCAGUCCUCCUAUAACCUACUUCCAAUUACCUUUGCUACCUUUAAAAUGUGAUAGUAAAAACUAGACGGUUUUGUCUACUGUUUCAAAACUUCUUGUUUUCAAUGUAAGAGAAGGGCUAUUUCUCAGACUUUGAAAUUAACAUUUUUUGCCAAAUAUACCUUUCCAGUUUCAUAUUGACAUUUUUAAAACAAAAGGUCUCAAAACUCUUUCAUAUUUAGCUAUGAUCAAGUGAAUGAGGUUGGCUGUCAUUAAUCAAAUAUCACUUUCCAAAGGUGUUUUCCUCAGUGGAGUGUUUAACCAGAAGUUAUAUGGCCAUCAGCCCACAAUGGUGUAGGCAUUUUAAUAUGAGGUUGGACAAGAUAUCUUCUAAGAUCUCAGCUAGGAUCAUUUGAUACCCAAGACCUUUCCUGCCAGCAUUUCUUCAGCUUCUAUUUAUAUUGUAUUUUCUAUUGUCAGUAUUUAUCAUUUUUCCCUAUUCGUAUCAUCUCACCUCUACAAUACAAUCCAUUUUCAAGUUCUCUUGGCUUUACUCCAAAAAUACAACCUAAAUGUGUUAAAUGUUUUUUCAUAUUCAUUACUGCCAACUUGGUGCAAACGACUGACCUCUGCUUCCUUGGACUAUUGUGGAGUUUCCAGUCUCCCAGCUUUACUUCUUAUGCACCUCAUCACUUCACCACUCCCCAUUGUGAUGCCUGAGCUGGAGUGACCUUACAGGAACAUAAAGGGGAUUGUACAACUUCCAUGAUUUUUCACUCAGGAAUAAAAUAAAAUAUCAAAUAAAAUGUAAAUGUCCUACAAUGGGCUUUUCUCUUCUCCAGCCUCAUCUGCCACUACUCCCUGUUCACUAAACUUAUAUUCGACUUCUUUUUUUCUCAGACACACCUACCUCAUUCCUGCUUGAGAGCCUUCGCAAUGGCUAUUCCCUCUGCCUGAAUUCACUUUCUUCUCAUCUUUACAUGGCUGGUUCCUUCUACUUCCUAAGAUCCCAGCUCAAAUGCCAACUCCCCAGUGAGCCCUUCCUGACCACCUGAUCAAACUAAACUCCACACCUCCAUUGUCAUUUGAAACUUUGCAAUAUACGUUGGCUGAAUGAAUGAGUGAAUUAAUGAACAAGAGAAUGAGUGAGUGAGCUCUCUUUACAAUAUGUCUAUUCUUUUUGCAUUUUCCUCUAGUCUUCUUCCUAAUUCCAACUUUUUUUUAAAAACGACAUUACAUAUAACUUACGCUUACAGUCUGUUGAGUACGUAACUGUUAAGGCAUCAUCCUGCUUUGUGAAUUCCAAAUCUAUUUCUAUACAAUCACACAAACAUUAUCUUCAGCAUAUAAAUGUUUUAGAUUCUUUAAUCUUUGAUUAGCUGCGUUGCUGUGAAUGAUUGAGUGGCUUUGCCUGUCAUUUGUUGAAAUAUCAAAGAUACUUCCUACUCUUUCUGCUAUCGAAGUAGCUUUAUAAAUACCUGAAAUUUCUCUUUUAAAAAAAUGUAUUCUUAGAUUCUCUUUUAAGAGUUUUGAAAUUUUUCUUAUCAUUACAGAGGAAAGAAAUCCAAGUAAAUCAAAAGGAACAGAAACUAGAAAUAUACAGGCAUACUUGUGGCUGGAGUUAUUCCACUACUUGUACAUUAUGUGGCUUACCUCAACAUGUGGAAAAAUACAGUGCAAUGGUGCAUGCCUGUAAUCCCAACACUUUGGGAGGCCGAGGCAGGAGGAUCACUUGAGCCCAGCGUUUGAGAUCAACAUAGCAAAAUCCCGUUUCUACAGAAAAAAAAAAAUUUGCUGCAUGUGGUGGUACACAUCUGUGUUCCCAGCUACUCAGGAGGCUGAAGUGGGAGGAUCACUUGAGGCUGGAGGCAGAAGUUGCAAUGAGCUGAGAUCUAGCCACUGCACUCCAGCCUGGGUGACAGAUUGAAACCCUGUCUCAAAAUAAACAACAAAGAAAACUUCGUCUCCUGCAGGAAGCUAUCAUAAUCCUGACUGCAAGCCACCUAUUUGAAACUUAUUUGAGUUAGAUCUUACGUUAUAUUUAUUUGACCUUUUUCAUCUGUCCAGUUUUCUUCUUGAGUUUAUUCAGUUACCUAAAGAAACUGAAAAUUACUUGUAGAUAGAAAUCACAUUUCAUAAUUUGCUUAUAAUUCCCCUCAGGCCUUCUGCAUUUUAUGCAUAUUGAACAUUACACAAUUUAAUGAAUGGAUCAUUGGAAAAUCUCUCAUUAUGUAC
This is a long non-coding RNA of Homo sapiens (human), 2306 nucleotides long. Ensembl annotates it as long intergenic non-protein coding RNA 1602. The record is from Ensembl. Lineage: Eukaryota; Metazoa; Chordata; Mammalia; Primates; Hominidae.